RNAcentral lists this long non-coding RNA (985 nucleotides) under Androctonus crassicauda. Lineage: Eukaryota; Metazoa; Arthropoda; Arachnida; Scorpiones; Buthidae. The record is from RNAcentral.
GUCGAGUGGGGACACUUUUCAAUAUUGGUCCCUUUGACAUGGAAUGACCCUAUUCUCCCUUUGUUGGGAUGGGUUUUUCAGGCUCUUUUCAACCACCUCCUUAUUUGUAUCAGGAAAGAUCCCUAAUAACCAUGCUCUAUUCCUACCUUCAUUAUAUAAAAGAAAUUCUUGUUCCAUAUCCUCUCUUGUAAUACAGUAUGUUGGUGCUCUCUUAAAGAAGCUUUUAAACACCACUCCUCUUUUAUAAUUAAUGGGAUCACUUGAUCAGUUCAGGAUGAGUAGUGGUUUGUAUGUUGGCUUUCUAUAAACCUUAGAUUUUAGUAAACCUUGUAUGAUGGUUUAGCUAAAAUCUAACAUAAUUUAAUCAUCAGCCAAAUGACCAUGUUAGAAACAGGUUGUGCAUUCUAAAAUUUUUUUUUAAGUUAAGAGCAAUUUCCUAAAAUAUAAGUUGGUAUACUUUUUUAGAAUUAAAAUCAAACAGAGAUUUUUUAAAAGACAAAUUCAUUGGACCCUGUUAGGGCAAAACAAACUGUGCAAAAAGAAAAUUGAAAUUUUUUCUAGACUGUGUUAAAAUAAAAUAAUGUAAAAAAAUUCCAUAUAAAAACAAUUAAAUGUAUUUGAAUAUACUUAAAAUUUAUGGGAUAAAAGAAUACUAAAAUCAUAAUGUAAAACUCCUUAUUGUAAAUAUUAAAUAAAAAUAAACUAUAAUCCAAAUAAAUAAGAUAAACUGUUUAUUCAAAAAGGGCUAUCCAUGUGUUUCAGUUGAAAUACAAACCAAAAAAGGGCUGAAGGGAAACUUUUUUGAUCUGUAUUUCAACUGAAGUAGGCUGUGCAUAGCUGAAAUUGUUUUUGAAUAAACAGUUUAUAUUGAUUAUUUGGCUUAUAGCUUAUUUUUUAUUUAGUACUUUAUUUAAUACUACAACUCAUUUGAAAUUUUUUUUAUAAAUAUUAAAUAAACUCCACAUUAUUAAAAUUUGAACUGGCG